AUGCACAAGCUCCAGCAAUUGGUUUGCUCUUGUUGCAACUCCACUAGGAAAUGGUGUCUUAUGUUGUUUGCCUUGAAUGCAUCCCUUACAAGCAAGAUUCAUGGUAGAAUGGCCAAGGUCUAAGCCAAAAUAUGAUUGCUCGUUUUACUUAUUCCAAAAUUAAUCUAAAGAAAAUAAACUUGUAUAAGGAGAUUCGAACAUAAAAAAUGACUAGUUACUUAAGUGUUUACAUUAGGAUUAUACAAUCAAUUACCUCCUGAAUAUAUCAUCUCUAUUUUCUAUAUCUGAACACACAAAGAAACUAUAAUCUCGUCCUUCAUCUUAUCGGUCUCUUCCUUAUAGCAAUUUAGUCAUACCAAUAAUUGCUAUUUCCACCAAUAUAUUCACCCUCAUAAUCUCCUAUUGUAAUACUCUGCCCUCACAACUUUCAGCACACAAUUACCCUCAUUCUAAUCACUGGAAUUCUUCACUCAGAACUGCCAUUCAUAUUACAUUAUUUCACACAAACAUAGAUUCAUUCUCUUUGCUGAACUACAAUCAGAUUUCAGCAUUCAAUCUUUCUUCUUCUGAGAUAAUACCAAUCACAUUUCCAUUCCAUAAUUCACUUCACAAUAUUUAGAAACUCUCCAUCCUCUUAUUCAAAGAAAAUAACAAACAAAAGAAAAGAGGUAGCACCAAGUUUACCCUGGCUCACAACUAUCACAGCGAUGGCACCUUGAUUAACUUCUACAAUUCUUAUAUACUUUUCCCUGAUUUUUCAGAUUCUAAUCGUAAUUCUGUAAUUAACUACUUUUAAUAACUAAAUCACUCAUCCGUCCUCCCGAAUUUCCUAUUAUAUGGACUAUUAAUAUAUUUUACCAAUAUCUUUCAAAAAUGAAUUAAUAUCUAUUCUACAGGCAUCCACCUUAAUA
This 911-nucleotide long non-coding RNA is filed under the name Physcomitrium patens. RNAcentral's name for it is "long non-coding RNA (PPAT_LNC010471)". The record is from RNAcentral. Lineage: Eukaryota; Viridiplantae; Streptophyta; Bryopsida; Funariales; Funariaceae.